GAUGAACGCUGGCGGCGUGCCUAAUACAUGCAAGUCGAACGGAAAGGUGAUGAGCUUGUUCCUCUCACGUUUGGCGCGCGCGGGGGAAUCACACGAGGAAAACCCUCCUUAAAUUCUGGGAAAAUCUCGGGAAAGCGGCGAAUACACCGGAGAAGAUACUGAAGCGUAGUGUUGAAUUGAUAAAGACGGUUUUUCUGGAUCGUCUCGCUGGUUCCCCGCCGCUUUAGCUAGUUGGGAAGGUAAAGGGUUACCAAGGGAACGAGGCGUAGGCGAGCUGAGAGGGUGAUCGGCCACACUGGAACUGAGACACGGUCCAGACUCCUACGGGAGGCAGCAGUAGGGAAUCUUCCGCAAUGGGCGAAAGCCUGACGGAGCAACGCCGCGUGAGUGAUGAAGGUCUUCGGAUCGUAAAACUCUGUUAUUAGGGAAGAACAAAUGUGUAAGUAACUAUGCACGUCUUGACGGUACCUAAUCAGAAAGCCACGGCUAACUACGUG
RNAcentral lists this ribosomal RNA (497 nucleotides) under uncultured bacterium. RNAcentral describes it as "partial 16S ribosomal RNA". It matches the Rfam family "Bacterial small subunit ribosomal RNA", at positions 28 to 507 of the family's 1533-position model. The record is from RNAcentral.